This 253-nucleotide ribosomal RNA is filed under the name uncultured bacterium. Its description in RNAcentral is "partial 16S ribosomal RNA". It matches the Rfam family "Bacterial small subunit ribosomal RNA", at positions 524 to 776 of the family's 1533-position model. The record is from RNAcentral.
UACGUAGGGGGCAAGCGUUGUCCGGAUUCAUUGGGCGUAAAGCGCGUGUAGGCGGCCAGGUAGGUCCGGUGUGAAAACUCGAGGCUCAACCUCGAGAGGUCAUCGGAAACCAUCUGGCUAGAGUCCGGAAGAGGAGAGUGGAAUUCCCGGUGUAGCGGUGAAAUGCGCAGAUAUCGGGAAGAACACCCGUGGCUAAGGCGGUUCUCUAGUACGGUACUGACGCUGAGACGCGAAAGCGUGGGGAGCGAACAGG